CCUACGGGAGGCAGCAGUGAGGAAUAUUGGUCAAUGGGCGGGAGCCUGAACCAGCCAAGUCGCGUGAAGGAAGAAGGUACUUAGUAUUGUAAACUUCUUUUGUCGGGGAACAAAGGCGGAGACGCGUCUCCGGAUGAGUGUACCCGAAGAAAAAGCAUCGGCUAACUCCGUGCCAGCAGCCGCGGUAAUACGGAGGAUGCGAGCGUUAUCCGGAUUUAUUGGGUUUAAAGGGUGCGUAGGCGGGAGAUCAAGUCAGCGGUAAAAUUGCGGGGCUCAACCCCGGCCGGCCGUUGAAACUGGUUUGCUAGAGUUGGUGAGAAGUAUGCGGAAUUCGUGGUGUAGCGGUGAAAUGCAUAGAUAUCACGAAGAACUCCGAUUGCGAAGGCAGCAUACCGGCUCCAUACUGACGCUGAGGCACGAAAGCGUGGGGAUCGAACAGGAUUAGAUACCCGAGUAGUC
This 459-nucleotide ribosomal RNA is filed under the name uncultured bacterium. Its description in RNAcentral is "partial 16S ribosomal RNA". It matches the Rfam family "Bacterial small subunit ribosomal RNA", at positions 338 to 795 of the family's 1533-position model. The record is from RNAcentral.